This is a long non-coding RNA of Eurypyga helias (sunbittern), 946 nucleotides long. RefSeq lists it as uncharacterized. The record is from RefSeq and is a predicted model, not a curated record. Lineage: Eukaryota; Metazoa; Chordata; Aves; Eurypygiformes; Eurypygidae. The transcript is spliced from 2 exons.
AUUAAUUGUCAUAUAUAUAUAUUUUGAUUUUAACAGCAACAACCCAGUUGUCCUUGGCCCCAACAACUCUAACCUUCCCAGAAUAUUUGGUAUAAUUGCGGAUGGUGAAAUUCAUGAAGCUAUUAAACACGAAGAUCCGUGCACCAAGCGGUUGGCUAACGUGGUUCGCCAAGUGCAGACAUCUGGAGGACUGUGGACAGAAUGCAUAUCACAGCUCAAUGCCGAUCAACAGGCAGCCAUACAGGAGCUCCUGAACUCUGCUUGAAGGGCCUUAAUUAUCAUCCGCAAGAAAACUAACUCCAAAUAAACGUUUACCCUAUCGUUUAGGUUUCUUUUGUUUCUUUUUUUUGAGUAAACCCAGAACUGUAGUGCGGGUAGGCCAUUCUUCUGCAACCUGCAGGCGGCGGCGGCAGGAAGAAGCAUUCUUUCAGGAGGGUGUUUAAAUCGGUUUCUAUCCCACCACAUGGAAGAAGUUUCCUGUAAACCCUACAAUAGCACUGAAGAGUAUUUUUCUAAUGGUAUAGGCCAUCCAUACGAUGGCGAAAGGGAAACAAGUUGCAUUUUCUCAGUAGACGUAAUGAAUUUACGAAAACAGCUUUAAGACCUUGUAUUCAGCAGUAGAUGUACGUUAUAACAGAUAAACGUUUCUCUACAUCUAGUGUUAAUUGUAUUAAUUGGAGUGUGAGUCUUUGUAGGGUAGAAAGCGUCCUUCUGCCCAACGAGUUUAACGGAUCACAGAGAUGAAGAACCGAAGAGAAACAUGGUGCAUGAAGACCUCAUUGAUCACACUUUCAGACUCCCAAAACCAACCUGUACAGUGACUCAAUGAGGAAAGCUGUUCGGCUUCCAGCCCUUGAAUGUGAAGUCUCUUUGGCAUGUCUGGCGGUAUCUCAUUCACUCCUCAAUAAAUGACAUUGGAAACACAAGAAGCCUGUGUAGAAGUUCA